This 499-nucleotide ribosomal RNA is filed under the name uncultured bacterium. RNAcentral's name for it is "partial 16S ribosomal RNA". It matches the Rfam family "Bacterial small subunit ribosomal RNA", at positions 28 to 507 of the family's 1533-position model. The record is from RNAcentral.
GACGAACGCUGGCGGCGUGCCUAAUACAUGCAAGUCGAGCGAAGUUUUUCUGGUGCUUGCACUAGAAAAACUUAGCGGCGAACGGGUGAGUAACACGUAAAGAACCUGCCUCAUAGACUGGGACAACUAUUGGAAACGAUAGCUAAUACCGGAUAACAGUAUUUCUCGCAUGAGAGAUAUUUAAAAGUUGGUUAUGCUAACACUAUGAGAUGGCUUUGCGGUGCAUUAGCUAGUUGGCGGGGUAAAGGCCCACCAAGGCGACGAUGCAUAGCCGACCUGAGAGGGUGAUCGGCCACACUGGGACUGAGACACGGCCCAGACUCCUACGGGAGGCAGCAGUAGGGAAUCUUCCGCAAUGGGCGAAAGCCUGACGGAGCAACGCCGAGUGAGUGAAGAAGGAUUUCGGUUCGUAAAGCUCUGUUGUUAGGGAAGAAUGGAUAUGUAGUAACUAUACAUGUAAGAGACGGUACCUAACCAGAAAGCCACGGCUAACUACGUG